Molecule: microRNA, 22 nt
Filed under: Caenorhabditis brenneri
Lineage: Eukaryota; Metazoa; Nematoda; Chromadorea; Rhabditida; Rhabditidae
Description: cbn-miR-1824a
Source: miRBase by way of RNAcentral
UGGCAGUGCCGAUUCUAGUGGC